AGGAUGAACGCUGGCGGCGUGCCUAAUACAUGCAAGUCGAACGGGCUCUUCGGAGCUAGUGGCGGACGGGUGAGUAACACGUUGGUACCUACCCCUAAGUGGGGAAUAACUGCCCGAAAGGGUGGCUAAUACCGCAUAAUCCGCAAGGUAAAGCAGUAAUGCGCUUAGGGAGGGGCCUGCGUCCCAUUAGCUUGUUGGUAGUGUAAUGGACUACCAAGGCGACGAUGGGUAGCUGGAUCGAGAGGUUGACCAGCCACACUGGGACUGAGAUACGGCCCAGACUCCUACGGGAGGCAGCAGUAAGGAAUCUUCCACAAUGGACGAAAGUCUGAUGGAGCAACGCCGCGUGCAGGAUGACGGCCUUCGGGUUGUAAACUGCUUUUAUAUGGGAAGAUUAUGACGGUACCAUAUGAAUAAGGACCGGCUAACUACGUGCCAGCAGCCGC
RNAcentral lists this ribosomal RNA (446 nucleotides) under uncultured bacterium. RNAcentral describes it as "SSU rRNA". It matches the Rfam family "Bacterial small subunit ribosomal RNA", at positions 26 to 518 of the family's 1533-position model. The record is from RNAcentral.